Molecule: ribosomal RNA, 253 nt
Filed under: uncultured bacterium
Lineage: Bacteria
Description: partial 16S ribosomal RNA
Rfam family: Bacterial small subunit ribosomal RNA
Source: RNAcentral
UACGGGGGGGGCAAGCGUUGUUCGGAAUUACUGGGCGUAAAGGGCUCGUAGGCGGCCAACUAAGUCAGACGUGAAAUCCCUCGGCUUAACCGGGGAACUGCGUCUGAUACUGGAUGGCUUGAGUUCGGGAGAGGGAUGCGGAAUUCCGGGUGUAGCGGUGAAAUGCGUAGAUAUCUGGAGGAACACCGGUGGCGAAGGCGGCAUCCUGGACCGACACUGACGCUGAGGAGCGAAAGCCAGGGGAGCAAACGGG